Long non-coding RNA from Lagopus muta (rock ptarmigan), 15576 nucleotides. RefSeq lists it as uncharacterized. The record is from RefSeq and is a predicted model, not a curated record. NCBI's taxonomy places the organism in Eukaryota, Metazoa, Chordata, Aves, Galliformes, Phasianidae. The transcript has 3 exons.
AAUUAGCUGUAUUCUGUAAGGUUUUCCCACCUGGAACAGCCAGGCUCUUUUCUAACCUGGUUACCUGGCACCUUUAGAUUGGGAUCACUCAGUGUGAUAAGAAAACAUUUCUGUUCUUCAUUUGAUACCCACACCAAUGCUUGAGCUCUGCACAGUUCUUGGGUACAUAAGCUGCUCCCUUCAGGUCUGACACAUCCACAGGAUGCUUCUCUCCAUGUCUCUGUGCUCUUCCCUCCAUCUCUCAGCACUCAGCUGCAAUCUGUACCGCUGCUUUUUGUGCCCAUACAAACACAAGUGUGGGACUGUGCUCCUAAUCUGGUUCUGCUUCUCAUAAUUUCUUCUUCUUUCUCAGUCUUUUCUCACGGUUUGAAGUGGAAACGAUGCUCCUCACGUUCUGUCCUUAACUGCUGUCAAGCAUACUUUUCAACUAUGCAUUUCCUGUGGCAGCUUCCUCACCACGCUCUGGGGUUGGCCUGCCCUUUUAGCCCUGGAGUUGGUUGGUUCUUCAUCCUUCUGUCAGCGUUUUGUUCAACUUGUGUGUCGUUUCCCUUCAUCUCUGAGUUGUUUCUUCGCAAUGGAAACUUCUAGCAUCGUUUCAGGUGUUUCAUCGUUUCCUUCUGAGGCUGCCAAGGCCUGGUGAACAGGGCAGGCACCUUUUGAGUCGUCCUGAAGGCUGUGCUCCUGCAAGCCUGCCUUUCUUAUGGAUGGUUGUCAUUAUGGGGCCUUGAAUCUUUCAGUAUUACAUGAAGUUAUUUCAGCCUAUCUGUUGUAAACCCUUUGAGGUAGCUUCAGUGUGGGCUGAUAACUGCAUCUCAAAGUUUCCUUUUUGAAAGGGAGUUCAUCUUGCUCAGUGAUUUCUGGGAGAGGUGUAAGGCUCUAUCUUGCUGCCUGAGCCCCUGCUGUAUCUGAAGGAAGAUUGUCUGAUAACUGCUGGGAUUUACUGGUCAAAUUGUGGGCAGGAAAAAAGAAAGUAAGCUUGUAUGUAUGGCUGUGUCUGGUUCAGUACCCGGGUUGCUAAGAAUUUUGAGGGCAGAAAUGAAUUCUCUUUUAAAUUGUUUGAAUGUUUCUUUUCCCCCAUUUAGAGGUAAGAUUCUCAGACAAGGAGAAAGGGUGAAACUGAUGUCCUUAAACUAAUUUCUUGCAUUAAGCAUGCCCUAUAAACAGUUAUAAUUGGCUCUUAUGGAUUCAGGGGAAUAGCUGAUCUGAAUCGCUCUGAAUCGGAUGGCUUUUAUUUAUAGGCCUUUAUCCUGUUCUCAUUGCCAUAGAGCAUCUCAUGAGGUUUCGCUUCAGGCUGGUGUUGCAGGGCAGGGCUGCAGGAAAGUGCAGGUGCCAGGCAUUGGAGUGGUGCUGCUUGGGCCUUCGUUUGUGCUGCUAAGUCAGAUUUGUCUUUCUCCUGUGUGUGCAGUGGUGUUUGGUCCUUUCAGAAGAAGGACGUGUGUCCAAGUGAAGAAAUUGCCCUUGAUAGUAGGAUGUAGCAGCGGGCACAGCGGCCUCAUGAGCAAAAGCAAUGGGAUGAAACACUUUGCCCACAGCUGCUGCUCAGGUUUGCUGUCAGAGCUCUGCUGGAGUGAGGUGAAGGAACCUGUCCCAUCCGAGUGGGAAAGAAGGGAAAUGUGUUUUCUUUGUUUAAACAAAAACUAGCAUUUUGAAAGGGAAUAAGCGACUUUGCUUGGGCUGCAUUGUUGUUCAAGACAGCUGUUAAACUGGCCUGUAAACAAAUACUGAAGUUAAUUGAGCCGCUGGUAUCUCUAAGCAAUGAGCUCUGUGUUCCUGUGGAACUGCACAAGUUCUACUCUGACAAACCUGGGCUGCCUCCAUUGCUCACUCCAUAGUGAAGCACGGAUGCAGCAGCCACAGUGCCAUGCCCAGGGCAGGCUGCGUGCAGGCAGUGUGGUGCAGCAGAGAGGAGCUGCUAUGCACUGCAUGCCUCCCAGUGCUGUGAGUGCUGCUGUCUGAGGCCCUGUAGGUUGUUGGGUUCCCCAUCCAGCAGGCCAGCAUCACAUCUGUGCCGUCCUGUGAUGCCAGCACCUCUCAGACCCUUUGUAGACUUCUGGUAAUUAUGUGUGUUGGGAUAUAAUAUAUUGAAACUUGUGCUUUUAAAUUAUUUUCAUGCACGGUUCUGCAGAACAAAAGCUGCGAUUCCUUUUAAGUGCUGGCAUUCCUCAGCCUAACGCUUAUCUGCUCUGAAGGGAAGAAGCUGGGCAGGCAAUCUGGCCCUUGCUGCUCUCACUGCUCGCUGUCUUCCCUACCCUCAGGGACACAAUAUGCUGUGUUGGAAGGGAGAGACUGACCCAGAAAGAGAGGAUGUUCUGCAUAUAUUGUUCUAAAAUGCACGGUUUAAAAAAUAAGUAAGUUUAAAGCAACUGAGAACAUAAACCGUUUGACUUCCCCUCCUCCAUCCCAGGGGAGCAGCCUGCAGGAAGCACAGCCCUGCACAUGUGUCUGAGGGUCUCUGUCGUGUUUUGCUGCUGGAGCACACAGGAAAUAUUUUCCUGCUUAUUUAUGCUUCAGCUAAAUAUAACAUUUCUCCACCUCUGGCGCUGCAAUUACUAUUAAACAACGUGGCAAUUGGAGUUGGGUCAUUGACAAAUCUUCCUCUGACACGGAAGUCCCAUUUAAAUUAGUUAAGAUCUUGAUAGCUCUGCUUGUAUAAUGUCAUGGAGGGGACUGCAGGCUGGCCAAGGGAGCAGUGCUCUCCUUUGAAACAUUUAGUAGGCCCAGCAGUGCCUUCUUUAAAGAUGCUCCCAUCUCUUACUCUCUAUUUUUCGCCAGCUGAUGUUUUAUAGUUUUCCUAAUGAGAACUUACUGACUUAAAGGACAUAGUGAAUAUAAAAUGCCUUUUUCUCUCGUGCCUCCUACCAGUUUACUGUAAGGUUUCUUUGCAAAGCUGGCAGCUGCUGUGUCCUCCUCUUGUUGCUUUGUUUCCUGGGGCAUUACGAGUUGUCAGCUUUGGAGUAUUGCUAUCAUGACCAAUGAAGUGCAGCCCAAAGAAGCAGUGGUGGGCAGGUCAGCCCCCCUCUAUUGCCUGCUCACUUUAUUUCAGUGUUGACCCCAGGAUGGCCAUUCAUAGGUUGAAAGAAGUUUUGUCUUGGUACCAGUUUUGCCUUUUCUUAUUCCUUGGGGUGUGAUGCUGCUUGUGGCAUCCCAGAUAGGAAAGUUGCAGCUUUCAAAAUACAAGGUUAAAUGGGAGCAGUGAGUGAAACGGGCACUGCACUGAUCUCCUCUUGAGCUGCAGCUGCACUGAGUUCGUGUGUAGGGGAAAAAAAACUCAUUUAAAAAUUGGGUGAGAUGCUGCAAGGAGUCGCUGUCUGCCCGCUGCGAUCUGUGCUGUCAGAGCAGCCAAGGAGGGCUGAGAGCUCGGGCUGCUGUGUGUAUCUGCUGUUAUUCUGAGCCACUGAAACAUUUACUUAGAGCUGUGUGAAUGAAGGCUGCCAUUCAAACAGGGAUCUGCUGGAAGUGUCUUGGUGUGAGAGGGCACUGACCGAGGAUUUCCACUUCCUUGACAUUAAAUCCUGAGAGAUCUGUCACUGCAACUGCUGUGUCUUGGGGAAUUUCCCGAGACAGAAGAUGGCCUAUGGGCAGCUCAGCUCUGUGUGGCUGCUCGCAGCCUGCAGCUCAGGGCUUCAUCUGCAGUCACAACAAACCACGUCCUCCCAGCACCUUUCGACUCGGCCCUGCUGAGGUAAGGCAGCUCUGUGCAGCGCAGUGCUGCCAGCUCUCGCUGUCCUUGCGAGGCCGUCGUGGGCAGCAGACUUCAGAAAUGCUCCCGUGUUUCUCGAGCUCAGUUGACUCGAAGCUUUCACUGUCUGGCCCCUGCACGUCCUUUUAGCAGUAGGUGUGCACUGAGCUGCUCUUCUUCUCCGAGUGGUGCUUGCUUUAUGUAAGCUGGCCUGGCAGCAUGAAGGCAGCGCUCUUGUCAGCUGCCUGCUCCGAGUCUCUGAGCUGUUCAGUUCAGCCUGGGAAUUUAACCAGAGCCUCAUUUCUGAUUAGUUUGAAUAUCCUUCUAAUUUAUUAGGUAAUGAGAGUAAUGCACGUGUCGUUGGUGUAAAGGGAUCUUGAAAGCAAAGGAAGAAAUAGAUAUCUAUUAGAAGUAGUUGGGAAUUUGGACAGGAGAAACAGAAUUUCUAAUACAUUGGCUGGAAGCUGUUCCUCUGCAGGGUUCUGCUUCAAGGGAUAAAAACUGAUGAAGGCUAAAACCACAUUUGCAUUUCUGAGUUGGGUUGUACAAAGCCAUUAGGUCCCAGAACCACCUACAAAAUGCUGCGCCUAUUGCGUGUGUAACACUGCAGUAUCUGUGCCUUGUGUGUUUUAUCAUUUGGGCAGGCUUCAUAUGUACCAAUAGCUUUUUGCCCAAGUGCAAUUGCUCUGGGUAUGCAUCUUAUCAGCAUUGCUCACUGCAGGCUGAUCAGAAGGCACAGAACGUUGCUGUAGGAUGAGUCAUGCAGUUAAGCAGCUUGUUGCUUCCAUGGUGAGACGCACCCUUGUUGUGUAUGCCAGCAAUCAUGAAACUCCUGGCAAAUACCCUGUGACGUGAACUUCUUAUGGCCUUGGUAAAUGAAAUGCCUGUGGCACUUGCUGGGAUGUGUUUUGUUUGUGCCUGCUCGCUGCUUUUGGGUAUUCUGCUCCUCCUUCUCCCACGGAACUCCUCAGCUGAGACUUCAGUGAAGAAAUUGCAGCAUCAAUGCAGACCAUUUCAGGGUGGAAUUAGAGGGGCACUUAAAGCCACAGCUUUCUAAUGUCUUUGGUUACCUCACGAGAAGUCUAAUCUGUCCUGUUUUGAAAUAACUGUUUUAUCACAGAUCAUCCUGUCCCUGUGCUGAGCUCAGGAGGCGGUUUGGAUGCCUGAUCUUUCCAUUGCCCUGAGGGCAGCACGCAGGGAGUGCAUCUCUGGGAAGUGAGUGUGGGAUUUGUGAUGCAGCUCCUUGUUGCACAGCUCACCUCCAGCCCACAGCCCAGUGAGGUGAGCCAGGAGCCACUAUGAGGUGAGAGGAAGGUAGGAUCUGAAGGGCAGAAGACCCCAAGCUAACUCCUGCGUGCUGUGGAUCCAUCGGGUCAUACGUUGUCUCUCCUCAGUAGGCUCUAAGACACUUGCAGCAGCGGUUGGUGUUGAUGCUGUCUCAUUAGGAGACAAUCUGCAAGCUGCCUCUGUUCGUUUUCUGUAAGUGGCUUUGUGUUGUUAGAGUGGGACAGCCCAGCAGGAGGUCAGGAUGGGCUCCAAGCACAAGUUUACCUUCUCUCUCAAGCACAAGAAGUAGCUGGGUGAGAGUGGCAGCAGGAGGCUUUUGUUGAGGGUUACUGCUUCCACUUCUUGGCUCUCAAGGCCUCCUUAGCAAAAAUGCAAGAGCUGCUGAGCUGGACUCCUUUAUCUUCAAUUUUUAACUGAAUUUCAUAUCUGAGAAAUGGAUUCUUAACGUGGAAAGCUGGUCCUCUUGCAAGGGAAUGCAAUUGUCCAAUUACUCUGGCUGGCUGCUGCCGUGUCCCUUCUGUUUUGAUGUACAGAAUUAUCACAUUUAGCAUUAAUGUGAGAACUUUUAAGACUCGUUCAGCUGGCUUGGUUUACCUUCAGUGGCUAACAUCUGAGAAACGUGUAUAUUAGAUCCCUUAAGAAAAAAAAGGACAAAAAAACACUCCAGGCUUUUCAUCUUUAUGCCUUUUAGCGUGAUGAUGAGAGGGAGGGCUUAGGGCAUGUGCUGUGCAUGUGAAAUGCUGUGCUCUCUGAAGGAGAGCUUUGGAGGUAGCCUGAAUUUUCUUCCUGGUGCAGGACCAGCCCUUUCAUGUUUCUGGAAUAGAGAUUGAGUCUUUUUCUUCUCUAAUCCUUUUUUGUUGAUUGUUUUCCUUUCUACAGCCCUUCUGGAUGAUAUGAAAUAAUUUAAGGACGCAGACCUGGGCUUGCUGUUCAGUGGUUUGGAUUUAAACACAGCGCUUCAAAAAGUGGUAUUAAAGUUACAGGACAACAAGAAUAUGGCAGCUAGUUGAAGUGUGAGCCCAGAAAUGACAGAGUUCUCUUUUGCCUUUUAAAAUUGCAGCAUGGCUGACAAAGACUGAAUUCAUUUCCCAAACAAGCAUUUUUUCUUAUGUAACAUCCAGCGAGUUUUGCUGGGGGGAGUUUCCUCUGCUUUUGUUUUCAGCUGAGUUGUGCUUAGGUGGGGUAGCUAGCUUAGGACUUCAAAAAGAGAAGUGAAACCAAUCAACCCGUUGUCUGCUGCUUUUUGACGUUUAUCCCUUCUUGGUGAUAAUUUUGGUUGGUCUCACAACAAUGAAAAGACAUUCAAGCCUGAACUUCAGCUUUUAAAUGCAUCUCCAGACGUUUGGUUCCCCUGUGGUGUGGGUUGGGUCUGGACGUAGAAAUCUGUGCUCAUGUUAUCUCUGGCUGCUUGUCAGCUGCUGCUGCCUGCUGGCUGGGGAAGCUCCUCAGAGAGGUGGUGCAGAUCGGUUGGCCUCGCUGUGCACCUGCAUCUUAAGCGGAAGGUCUGGGGGCAAAGCAACGAGCACAGCAUGUUUUGAGAUGCCUUCCCUAUAUUUGGGCUUUGUUAUAGAAACUGUCAGCAAGGGAGGCGUUAUCAGCUAGCACUUAGAGUACGGCUGGGAUGGAAGAGGAGGGUGAGCAUUUGUCCCGUGCUCUGCAGAUCCCUGCUCUCAACGUGUGCUAUCGGCUGUGCCGGUCUCCUGCAGCCCACACUUCUGCUCUUUGAAGUGGAAUUUUUCUCUUGUAUGUACACCAGCCACUGCUCCAGUCUGCAGGGAGCUCUGUGUAACUGAGAGGUGUGCGAGUGUGGGGAUGCUGAGAUGGUUAUUUCUGUCUGGCUCUCUUACAAGGAAUGAAGUACGGUUUGAUGUUCUCUUGAGGAGAGGGGAAAGCUUGGUGUCUGGUUAGAAUUUGGCCUGAAGAUGGUUUGACUUAAAAUAAGCUUGAGGAAGUGUUCAUGGCUUGGUUUUUAAACUUGAGAUGCGGCUCAUUUAAAAAUAGUAAAACAAGCUGAGAUUUCAUUAAGUUCAAACUUAGAAGUUUGGUUUCAGGAGAGAGCGUCUGGAUCCAAGGAGGGUUGGUAUGAAGAUGGCCCGAGGGGGAGGCAGUCUGUUGUCAGAACUUGGUGUAGUCGCUGUGAAACAGCACUUCCUGCACGUAUUUGACUCUUCUUGGACUCCGCUCUGAUGUGAAUCCUGCUUUCCCUGCGCUGUGGGAAAUACUGAAAAGCCCCAAAGCUCUCGAGGUGCUUCAGCAGUGGGUGAGCAGAGGGCCUUCCUGCAGGGACAGGACACGGAGGGAUCUUCCAGCUGUGUUCUGAUGGCAGCCAGCUUUGCCAGCGUGCAGCCCUCUGCUCUGAGCACAGCUCGGGCCCUGCAGCUCAGUGCUGGAGCACCACUGCUCAGCCCUGCUCUCUGCCUCAGCCCUGGCAUUGCCCCCAUCACAGCAUCAGGAGGGGAAGCUGCUCCCAAGAGUCUUUAACGCGCGAUGGCGGCUCUGACUGAAAUGGAAUAAUCGUGUUUUAAAGGGUGCUCUAAAGCUUUAUAAAUAUUAAUUUUGUUCUUUUGUUUCCUAAUAAAGGGGUUUGAUUCAUGAAAUCGCUAUUUAUUUAUUAACCUGACAAACUAAUAGCAAGCUCUCUUCUUUCAGUGUGUGCAUGUGCCAUAUCACAAUUCUGCUUGUCACCGUACAUAAGAACUUCAUUCAUCUGCUUUAAAAUGUCAUUGAUAACAACUUGGCAGUGGCCCAGCUCGGAGCAAGUUAACUACAAAAGGCUGCAUUGUAAACCUUUCUGAGAGUACAUGCUACAUUAAGUCUAAAAUUAAAGUACAGCCUGGUCCAGGCUGCAUCUAACUGCCAAAUAGCUUUAAACCUCUGAAAAAGUGGGGCUCUGUGCCUGAAAAUGGGAUAGAUUGGAAUUAAGGCUGCAUUCUGCUCACUUAAACCCUCAAGGUACCGAAUUUAUAGACCUUGUGAAAUGGGAGAGGAUAUCCUAGUGAACCACAAGUAGCAAAAUGAGGACCUGGUUAUUUCCUUUGGUCUCUUCUUUCUUUGACUGAACGCCCAGGAUGAGAAGUGCAGUCUGCAAAUGAGCCUCUGGGAGUGAAUUGAAGUGAUUUUGGAAUGGUACUUUGUGUUGUUUGUCAUAACCUUCCCCGACCCCAGCUGCAGUCUGCUCACCAAACAUAUUUGUUCACCUGUGGGUUCCCUUGGUGCAAGCAGAGUGCCUGGCAUUGCUGUGUGUGUGGUGAGGGGCUGCUGUGUCCGUGCAGCCCGGUUAACCCAGCUUGUGUCACUGCACUAAGUGGAGCAGAGCAUGAGGCUUUCAGGCAUCUUCAUGCCAGGUCUCCUGGGAGCAGUGUGAGCACGUUCUUAGCACCAUGCUCAUCCUAUGCUCUGAGGAUGGGGAUGGCUCGGGCAGUGCAGUGAGGGGCUCUGAAGGGUGUAUGGUCUGAUAGCUGGCAUGGGAACAGCGAGAGCCUUCAGGAAAGCAAAGAGGGGGGUAUGAUUUCAUGCUUCUUCACUUCUGUGGUUUCUUUUGUUUUGUCUCUUUCUGGAGUAUAGCAUAUGGACAGCGCCAUGGGUUAGGGAGCUCUGCGUCUUCAGAGGCUUUUCCUAUAUAGCCUUCCACUGAAGUCAAUGGGCGUGGAGGAGUUUGGGCAGUGGUUUGGCUGAAAUCUGCCCCACCAUCCAGCCUACAGCAGCCAGUCAUCACCAAAAACAAAUUAAACCCUGGCACGACCAUCCUGGAGGCAAGUUGCAUGUGCUGAGCUUCCUCGCCUCCUGCAGCUUGAGGUCAGCAGUAAUUGCAGACUUCCUCUCACGACCUGCACAGAGCGUUCAGGCAGCACAUGGGUGAUGACAGUGAUCCUGGAUGCACCUAUCCAUUGUUUGGGAGACUUCAACACAUUAAGCAUUUACCUGUAGUCAUGAUGGGAGUAUGGCUUAAUUGCUGGUGUCUGAGCAUAUCAAUGCAUACCUGACUUAACAUUUAUUUUUCUAAGCAUGGGAAUUAGAUAACCAGUAUGUCAGCAGAAGGGUUCCUGUGAGUUUACCCCAAAACAGUGUCAUUUUUUUCUCCCCUCCCUCAGUCUUUUCUCCUUGCUAUUGCAUGUUGCAGGACUGCUUGCUCUGGAGAUCCCUGCUGAAUGAGGUCUUUAUUGAACUGGCCAUAACAUUGCUCUUCUCUUUCAAGAAAUACUGCUGCUAGGACAGAGGAAGACACUGUAUCUCACAGGGCUGUUAGACAGUGUUGCCUGACUGUGAUCUGUAACCAACUCAGGAAUUGAGUUGGAAAAAACACUGAGGUUUUGCAUAGGAAGCUAAAGUGAGGAGAAGCUCUUAAAGAAGUGCAGAGCAAGGGAAAAAAGCUCAGUUUGAAGAGCAAGCAGUAGCAAGUGAUAUGGGAAGAGUGCUGCUCCUGUAAGGGUGAGUGAUGCUGCAGAGCAGCCGGGGGGCUGUGUGGUGCUGGCCCUGAGCUCUGCCACCCAGGGCGGUGGGAUCCCUUCCUGCUGCCUGAUUACAGGAAGCUGGCCUGUUUCCAGAGUGAGUUCCUGAAACAUUCUCAGUGGGGAGGAGGUUUGGGAUGACAGAACGCUUAUUCACGCCCAGCAUGUCAGCUACAGCAGCAACUACCUGCAGUGGCUGGACGGUCACCUCCCAGAGGUGUGCCUCAGCCCCUGAGCCCGUGUUCUGCAGCACUACGUCAGCAGCAUCCUUCCCGUGCUGUCUCUGCAAAGUGAUGAAAUGAAUGCCAGCCUUUCCCAGCGGAACACCUGCCCUGCACGUGUCCCAGGGUUGUUCAGAAUGCACACAGGGCUGUGGAUGUGCAGAGCUGAGCUGUACCCCGUGCUGCCCGAGGGCAGGCGAGGAGCCCAGCCUGCCUGCAGCCCAGAGAGCCCUGCCAGUGCCUGCAAGAGGGGGGUGGGGAGGGAAGCAGAUGCUCCUCGGAAGUUCAUACCGUGGUUAAUAAUGUAAUUCACAGAUGGUGGUGGAGGCCUUGAAGAGGCUUUCAUGCAGUACUUACGAGCUGUAAUAGACAGAUCAUCGCAUAAGGGCUCGUAAAUAGAGAUGACUUAAUCCCAAGGAUGAGUCUGCAGUGAUCUGUUUGAUAGUGGCCCUGUGGCUCGCUGUAACCUUCUUAUACAAUCCAAAGCCUUUCGCAUCCCUGAAUGUGGAGCGCUGCCCUCAGACUGGGCCGAUCUCUGAUAACAAUGUCAAGAUAAAAUGCAGAUACAGAUUUGAGAUCUCGAAUGGAAAUGGUUCUUAUGACAUAGAAAACAAAUUCUUUUGUCCUGGUACAGGAAUCAAUACAGGCAGUGCAGGUGUGGAAGUUGCUUAACACAGUGCCUUCCUCUUGAGAAGCAGUUCUGCUUUUAUUUUCCUUUAUAUGGUAGGCAUUGGAAGCAAUGAGUAGCUGGCAGUGCAUCUUGAUGGAUAAGGAAAGGACCAUGCAUUGCAUGUCCUCUUGGGUUUGCUUAUUUAUUUACUUGUUAAGAAGAAGGUCACUCCAUGCUACAUAGCAGAUGAACAAGCUGCCUUUCCAGAGAUCACAAAAAGUAUUGCUUAACUCUCAGUGAAACGCUGCAAGCAUUUGUUCUUGGGGGGCUGACUGUGGAGGUCUUCAGUGAGUGCUGGCUGUGAGCUGUGUAACUGCAGGUCUGUAUUAGGGGCUUCCAAGCUGUUACGAUUACGUUAAAAAACAAAAGUUUUGGGUAAUACCAGAGCUGACCUUGUUGUGCGUGUGCAGCUUGCAUUUCCAAGGGAUUUCCAUAAUAAUAGCUUUGAUUUUUAAUUUUUCCAAGUUGAAAUCAUUUAGUAAAUUGGCUUUUUGUGAUGCUUGUCAUGUGAUGGUUCAUGAGCCCUGAAGAAUGUGCUCCUGUGACUGCAGCCGUGUGUUUGCCUGUACCGGAGCGGGCUGCGCUGUGUUCCUGCUGUGUUUGGAGCUGGGGAGCGAGGCUGGGGGGCUGAGGGCUGCCUCCACAAUGUCUGACAUUUCCAAGCAGCAAAAAAUGCUGCUGAUGAAGUUAUGUGCAGCUUCCAUUCCUGCUGCUGGUGUGUGCUGCUGCGCUGCAUUGCCUGCACCCUUGGAUUAAUCCAGUGGGGUUUUUUUUGUAGCACCUUACUUCCUCCAAGCUGCACCUUGUUUUCAGCUCUCUCUCUUGUACUCGUUGCUUCACACUUCAGGAUUUAGCUUGCUGUUCAUGCUUGCAUUAAAAAACCCGAAGGUUCAAACCCUCGGCUCGCACUGCGUAGCCCCAGCAGUAUUUGCACUUGGCUCAGGAGGUGCAGAUAUGUCAGCUGAGGGAUCCCUUCUCAUUUGGCUGGUCAGCCAAGCUCUCCUCAAGCGCAUUAGGAGGAUCUGCAGCUUAAGUUCAUCAGAGGACUGACCUGUUCUGGUUUUAAUGAGAUUUAUUAUACGUGUACCUUUUGGAUUUGACUGCUUUGGCCUUCAAAACAGCCUGUACAAAUCUGCUAGUAAAAGCAGGGCUGCCGGAAAACUGACUCCUCAUUCUGAACCUGCCCUCCUUCAAGAUUAUGGAUUCCUUUAAAAUUAAAAUACCAUCCCUUGUGCUGCUGGCACGCAGCUUGGCUGCACGGCUUCGCCAAGUGCUGGCAUUGCUGCUUCCUUUCGAGCUCCUGCACAGCUCCCUCCUAGGAAACCGCAGUGAUGGAAUGCUGAUGCUGCAGCUCACGUUUGGGGAGGACAGAGGAAAGCUGGACGUCACAGCUGAUAGAUGGGUCACGGUGUGCAACUUCUGCAGGCAUGGCUGCAGCCCCUACGUGUCUGGGGGAGAAGCAAGGCAGGGCAGUCCUCACAUACACAUGUGGGCAGGGUGUUAUUUGAUCCAGACUGACAUGUGUGGUACAGAUGUGGUUGUGAGCACGAGAUGAGAAGUUACGGUUGCUCUGCACGUAUGUCGACCCGCAGGAUAUCAGCACCCACACGUUUUUCAGUGUGAUUUAUUUGUUUGAAGAAACAAUGUGUGUGGUUGUUUCAGAGGAGGGGGGUGGGUGUUACUGUGUUGUGGAUUUGUUUUGGCCAAACUGUUUGCGUCUGGUACUUUGUGCAUUGGAUGGUCAUGCGUUGCAUGGCUCUGCUUGGCCAGAGCUGCCCCUUAGCCUUUGGUGGGGUUGGGUCUGGGGUCUGUGGCUGGGCAUGUGGGGAUUCCACUCAUCCCACCAGGACUUGGAGAACGUUGCAGUCUCUGGAGCUGGGAAGCAAAGUGUGGUUUGUUGGGCUGUGCUCUGGGUGUUUGCAUGCGCAGCCCUGCAGUCUGCUGAGGUGAAUGCAUUGCUGGGUGUAGCGCCUUUUUUUGUUGUGUUUUUUUUUUGUUGUUGUUAAUAAAUGAAUCUAUUAAUGGAAGCAGAGUGCAUAAUGUAAUCCUAAAAUAGCUCCUCCAUGAAUGCAGAAACAUUCCACUUCUGACUAAUCAGCCAUUCAGAACGAGCAUUUAAGUAGGGAGCAGAGGCUUUCCAUAUCUGUGAUUAGGAAUGCGCUGGGCUCAGCCUUGCACACCCCCCCUCCCAGCCCAUACCUGCUAUCUCCACAAGCACCCUGCUCACUGCCUGCCUGGGGCUGCCCAUCCUGCUGCCCCAGGCUGAAGGAUGAUGCUGAUAAACAGUCCUCAAAACCAGACUGGUGCUUCUUUUGCUCGUGAGUGAACCAGAGCACAAAUAUGUUCUGAGCCCUGGCUGCAGUGCAUGGCCUGGUGAGCUGGGCAGCCCAUGGGCAGUUUGCUUCUGAAGGGGCCGUUUCCUUCUGCCACUUCAAGCCCAGCAAUGCCCUACAGCCAUCUUAUUUAGAGAUGACCUCAAAGGCAAGUUGUGCUCUCCUCCCAAAGCGGGAUUUUCACAGGGGCUUACACUGGUUUAAGAUUGCAUUACCCUAGCAUAGCAUAAACCUGUUUCCUGUUAUCUUAAGGCAGAAAGCAGCUCGGGGAUUUGGAUUGAUUCCUGCUGACUUCACCAAUCCCUAAGGAGCACUUUGCCCCCACCUACCUGCUCCUAAUUUCAGGCAAUCAGAUGUGUCCUUUGCUGUGUUACGUGGCAGGACAGCCUUUGGGAAGCAGCCCCAGCUCCUCAGGUGGCCGCUCACACAGGGCACUGGCCGAAGGGAAGGGAAGGUUUUAACUGGAUUAACCUCAAGAAGAGAGUGUGGGGAUUUAAGGAUUAAGGAGCCCAAGGCAGCCAACAGUCACUGACUUCCAACCUGUGGUCAGAGAGCAGCCAGUUUCUGGGCUGGAGGUACAGCCCCCAGCCUGCAGCAUGCCAUGGAGGUAUUAAGGGCAGUGGUCUUAGGAGCACAGUGUGCAUGUAGGGCAUUUUUCCAAAGGCUGGUGUAUCGAUUGGAAACUGUUCAUAACUGAUGCCUUAUAAGAAGAAACUGAGAGCACUGAGUGCUUAGGUGGGACCUUAAACCUGGCUCUCAGAAGAUGUGUAGGCGCUCACAGCUCUGAGGACAUCUUUCAGUAGGCUUCAGCUCUUCCAGCCUCCUGCAUCCCCAGCCUUUGUCCCAAAGCGUUUCUCUCAUCCCAUGUAUUUUUCUACAGAUAAUGCUGUGCAUCCCCUGGAAGAAGAUCCUGGUAGUCUGCAGGGUUGGUGGAAGAUGAAGGGGGGGAUCAGCACACCCUGUUACUGGGGAGAGCGCAUGGUUGCUCUGCUGAAGGGACAACAGAUGGCACAAAGGAGCUGGGAUUACGCAGCUGAGUGCUGCAGGGCCACAAAUCUAACGGAUCUGUUGAACUGCAGGGGUCAGGCAAGCCCAGCCUCAUGCCAAGGCUGAUGUCCUUCUCCUGCCUUCAGCACAGCGCGUGUGUUUGAAGCUGUUCUGGGCAGCACGUAGGGCUGUGACGUCUGGAUGGGAGAAUGGGCAGCUGCUUCCAGCUUCUGACACAGCCUGGCCUUUGUGGCACUGUGGUGUUUCACAGAGGUUUACAUGUGAGGAGCGAUGCUGCCAGCUGUGUGCCACUUACCCAGUGUUUGGUCUUUGGAGGGAGAUGUGGGGCCGAGCUGCCCUGCCUGCCUGGAUCAACCAGCGAAGGUGAGUGUAUCCUGGCCAAAGACAAAUAGCACCAGGUCGCUUUGCUGGAGUCUCAUUAAGAUCUGUUUUUCUCAACUUUCAGCCUCUGGAGAGAGAGAAACAGGACAUUGGUUCGUUAACAGAUGAAGAGCACUGGAUAGCUGCAGGAAUUAAGAGCUGGACAGCAUUGCCUUUUUUGUUUCCCCUCCCACAGCAGUUUGGACAGAUACCCAAAUAAACAAUAACAGAUUUUUGGAGGAGCUGGCUGGGAGAAAUAACAAAAGUCAAGGGACGGUCAUUAUGCAUCUCCGUUCUUCUCAUGUUUGACUACUCUGGAAAGCCUCCUGUUACUCCUCAGCUUCAUUUUCCUUUCUCAUCUUCCCUCCACCCCCAUUGCACGAGGUGCCAUCGUACUUGCUGCUUGAGGCCCAAUCUGGACGAAGUUUGUGUAAAUCCCUGAACUCCAGCAGAAAGAUGAAAGCACUGAUAAGGAACUUGUUUUUUCUUUCUCCGGAGCAAGAGCACAAUGUCUUUGACCUAAAUAUACCAAUUACUGAUGCAGCAAAGUGAUACAGAAAACAAUCUGGAAGGAAUGCCAACCUCUGAAUGAAAGCUUGGCUGCAGAGAGCGGCUGCGUAUGUGGGGCCUCAAGCACGGAAGAAAUGUGAGGAGGAAAAGGGUGUUCAUUCAAAACGUAUCAUACAAAUAGUGAUGGGAGAGGGAGAAACUGCUGGGAAAGCUGCUGCUCUGCCCCGUCCCCGUGUCUGUGGAGAGGUAGGAGCGCUACACACAGCACCAUGCAGCUCUCCCCUCCCCUUCCCUGGCCUACUUUGCUCAGCUCAGCUGUCUAAAGCACUUUUAUGUCAAACUCGAAGGCUUCCUGGCAGCAGCUGCUAUUUUUAAAGCGUUUGAUGGCAAAUGUAAGUAUUUCAAAAGGUGGCUAUGAGCUUCUCCUCUGCAGCGUAGGGGACUCCAUUAAUUAGUUUUAUCGUUUUCAAUAGUGGUUAAGGUUAACCUCCAGAGACUGGGGGGUUCUGAAGAGCACUGGUUUCUGUUCAGCCCUGAGACCCGUCCUGCGGAGGGGAGCCCUGGCUCCACUCUCCUUAUAUCUCCUUGUAUCUCCUUAUAUCACCACUCUGCUUAUAUCAGCUCACAUAAAUGCCUGCAGCCUGCAGGAUGUCUGUUCUGCAGGUGCAGCUGUGGGCUCUGCCUGCCCAUGGACUGUUGCUGUGGGCAGAUCCCCAUGUACAGCACAGCGGAGUGCUCCCACACAAAGUCAGCCUGGAAGCUGUGUUAGUUCAGCAUCCCCAUCCUGCCCUGGAACUCCUGCUGGUGAAUUUGGGUGCACUCUCAGGCUUCCUACCCCAAAAAGGGAACCUUUUCUCGGCCCAGGUUUUCAAGUCAGUCCUUGUUUCCCUUUACCAGCCAGUGUUGUUGCUGGCACUUCAGACUUACUGCAAAUGUGGCAUGUGUGGGCUUUAUGUGAACACAGUUUAUUUAAGAGAUUGAUACAACUCUGUAUGAAUGUCUCUGCUGCAGAAAGAUGCAAUAGAUAAUUGGCAAUCUGACUCAAAUGUCUGUGUCUUGU